CCUACGGGGGGCAGCAGUGGGGAAUAUUGGACAAUGGGCGAAAGCCUGAUCCAGCCAUGCCGCGUGUGUGAAGAAGGCCUUCGGGUUGUAAAGCACUUUCAGUGGGGAAGAAAGCCUUGGGGCUAAUACCCUCGAGGAAGGACAUCACCCACAGAAGAAGCACCGGCUAACUCCGUGCCAGCAGCCGCGGUAAUACGGAGGGUGCGAGCGUUAAUCGGAAUUACUGGGCGUAAAGCGCGCGUAGGCGGUCUGAUAAGCCGGUUGUGAAAGCCCCGGGCUCAACCUGGGAACGGCAUCCGGAACUGUCAGGCUAGAGUGCAGGAGAGGAAGGUAGAAUUCCCGGUGUAGCGGUGAAAUGCGUAGAGAUCGGGAGGAAUACCAGUGGCGAAGGCGGCCUUCUGGACUGACACUGACGCUGAGGUGCGAAAGCGUGGGUAGCAAACAGGAUUAGAUCCCUAUAGUC
RNAcentral lists this ribosomal RNA (463 nucleotides) under Vreelandella stevensii. RNAcentral describes it as "partial 16S ribosomal RNA". It matches the Rfam family "Bacterial small subunit ribosomal RNA", at positions 338 to 795 of the family's 1533-position model. Lineage: Bacteria; Pseudomonadati; Pseudomonadota; Gammaproteobacteria; Oceanospirillales; Halomonadaceae. The record is from RNAcentral.